UUGAGCGAUUUACUUCGGUAAAGAGCGGCGGACGGGUGAGUAACGCGUGGGUAACCUACCCUGUACACACGGAUAACAUACCGAAAGGUAUGCUAAUACGGGAUAAUAUAUUUGAGAGGCAUCUCUUGAAUAUCAAAGGUGAGCCAGUACAGGAUGGACCCGCGUCUGAUUAGCUAGUUGGUAAGGUAACGGCUUACCAAGGCGACGAUCAGUAGCCGACCUGAGAGGGUGAUCGGCCACAUUGGAACUGAGACACGGUCCAAACUCCUACGGGAGGCAGCAGUGGGGAAUAUUGCACAAUGGGCGAAAGCCUGAUGCAGCAACGCCGCGUGCGUGAUGAAGGCCUUCGGGUCGUAAAACUCUGUCCUCAAGGAAGAUAAUGACGGUACUUGAGGAGGAAGCCCCGGCUAACUACGUGCCAGCAGCCGCGGUAAUACGUAGGGGGCUAGCGUUAUCCGGAUUUACUGGGCGUAAAGGGUGCGUAGGCGGUCUUUCAAGUCAGGAGUGAAAGGCUACGGCUCAACCGUAGUAAGCUCUUGAAACUGGGAGACUUGAGUGCAGGAGAGGAGAGUGGAAUUCCUAGUGUAGCGGUGAAAUGCGUAGAUAUUAGGAGGAACACCAGUUGCGAAGGCGGCUCUCUGGACUGUAACUGACGCUGAGGCACGAAAGCGUGGGGAGCAAACAGGA
This 687-nucleotide ribosomal RNA is filed under the name Clostridioides difficile. Its description in RNAcentral is "bacterial SSU rRNA". It matches the Rfam family "Bacterial small subunit ribosomal RNA", at positions 62 to 777 of the family's 1533-position model. The record is from RNAcentral. Lineage: Bacteria; Bacillati; Bacillota; Clostridia; Peptostreptococcales; Peptostreptococcaceae.